UACGGAGGGAGCUAGCGUUGUCGGAAUUACUGGGCGUAAAGCGCACGUAGGCGGCUUUGCAAGUCAGAGGUGAAAGCCCGGGGCUCAACCCCGGAAUUGCCUUUGAGACUGCAUCGCUAGAAUUGUGGAGAGGUAAGUGGAAUUCCGAGUGUAGAGGUGAAAUUCGUAGAUAUUCGGAAGAACACCAGUGGCGAAGGCGACUUACUGGACACAUAUUGACGCUGAGGUGCGAAAGCGUGGGGAGCAAACAGG
Molecule: ribosomal RNA, 252 nt
Filed under: uncultured bacterium
Lineage: Bacteria
Description: partial 16S ribosomal RNA
Rfam family: Bacterial small subunit ribosomal RNA
Source: RNAcentral